GUUUUAGUAGUUUAACAUAAAACCUUGGUCUUGUAAAUCAAAAUAGAGUAAUAUACUCCUAAAACU
RNAcentral lists this transfer RNA (66 nucleotides) under Deielia phaon. RNAcentral describes it as "tRNA-Thr". It matches the Rfam family "tRNA". From Rfam's summary of the family: Transfer RNA (tRNA) molecules are approximately 80 nucleotides in length. The record is from RNAcentral. Lineage: Eukaryota; Metazoa; Arthropoda; Insecta; Odonata; Libellulidae.